This 1161-nucleotide ribosomal RNA is filed under the name human gut metagenome. Its description in RNAcentral is "bacterial LSU rRNA". It matches the Rfam family "Bacterial large subunit ribosomal RNA", at positions 1326 to 2494 of the family's 2925-position model. The record is from RNAcentral.
AAACCCCCUCGCCGAAAGACUAAGGUUUCCUGAUCAACGCUAAUCGGAUCAGGGUCAGUCGGGUCCUAAGGCUCAGCCGAACGGCGAUGCCGAUGGCAGAAACGGUUAAUAUUCCGUUACUACCUUCAGGAGUGACGUGGAGACGCAGUAGUGACAGUGCCGCCAUCUGACGGAAUAGAUGGUUGAAGGGUGUAGGAGUCGAUCAUGGCAGGCAAAUCCACCAUGAGAUCCGAACCUGAUAGUAUGCCGCGUCCUUCGGGACAAGGCAAUAGUGCGCGUAAGCAUGCUGCCGAGAAAAUCCGCUAAACUUAAUCCUGCAGGUACCCGUACCGCAAACGGACACACGUAGUCGGGAUGAAUAUUCUAAGGCGCUUGAGUGAUUCACGGUUAAGGAACUAGGCAAACUGACCCUGUAACUUCGGGAUAAAGGGUCCCUACCCUUUUAUGGGAGGGCGCAGAGAAUCGGUCCAGGCAACUGUUUAACAAAAACACAGGGCUGUGCCAAAUCGAAAGAUCCAGUAUACAGCCUGACACCUGCCCGGUGCUGGAAGGUUAAGAGGAGAUGUCAUCGAUAAGAGAAGCGUUGAAUUGAAGCCCCAGUAAACGGCGGCCGUAACUAUAACGGUCCUAAGGUAGCGAAAUUCCUUGUCGGGUAAGUUCCGACCUGCACGAAUGGUGUAAUGAUCUGGACGCUGUCUCAACCGUGAGCUCAGUGAAAUUGUAGUAUCGGUGAAGAUGCCGAUUACCCGCGAUGGGACGAAAAGACCCCGUGAACCUUUACUAUAGCUUAUCAUUGAAUCUGGGCACGUGAUGUGUAGGAUAGGUCGGAGGCUUUGAAGCAGGUACGCCAGUAUUUGUGGAGCCGCUGUUGAAAUACGACCCUUUAUUUGUUUGGAUUCUAACCCGUGGAUACGGGGACAUUGAUUGGUGGGUAGUUUGACUGGGGUGGUCGCCUCCAAAAGCGUAACGGAGGCUUCUAAAGGUGCCCUCCGGCCGAUUGGUAACCGGCCUUAGAGUGUAAUGGCAUAAGGGCGCUUGACUGGGAGACUGACAAGUCGAUCAGGUAGGAAACUAGAGCAUAGUGAUCCGGUGUUUCCGCAUGGAAGGGACAUCGCUCAAAGGAUAAAAGGUACUCCGGGGAUAACAGGCUGAUCCCUCCCA